GACCCACGACAAAUGGAUCAUAAAGUCUUAAAAAAGAAUAGAUACGAUUGCAUUGCAUGUAUUAACGGAUGCGAUUAUACCAGCAUUAAUGCACCGGAUCCCAUCAGAAAUCUGCAGUUAAGCGUGCUUGGGCGAGAGUUGUACUAGGAUGGGUGACCUCCAGGAAAGUCCUCGUGUUGCAUUCCUCUUUUUUUUCUCGGUUUUUCUCUUUUCUGUUUUGUUAAAAGUAUAUGACUCUAUAACUUUUAGACCGUGAGGCCAAACUUGGCAUGUGAUACCUCUUCGGAAAGCCCAAAGAGAGCUCUCCAACUAAUGAGGAAGGAAAAUGGAAUUCUCCUAUUA
Molecule: small RNA, 342 nt
Filed under: Arabidopsis thaliana (thale cress)
Lineage: Eukaryota; Viridiplantae; Streptophyta; Magnoliopsida; Brassicales; Brassicaceae
Source: RNAcentral